ACACAAAAAUGCACAUACUGUGAGCUCGAUGAGUAGGGCGGGACACGUGGUAUCCUGUCUGAAUAUGGGGGGACCAUCCUCCAAGGCUAAAUACUCCUGACUGACCGAUAGUGAACCAGUACCGUGAGGGAAAGGCGAAAAGAACCCCGGCGAGGGGAGUGAAAAAGAACCUGAAACCGUGUACGUACAAGCAGUGGGAGCACGCUUAGGCGUGUGACUGCGUACCUUUUGUAUAAUGGGUCAGCGACUUAUAUUCUGUAGCAAGGUUAACCGAAUAGGGGAGCCGAAGGGAAACCGAGUCUUAACUGGGCGUUAAGUUGCAGGGUAUAGACCCGAAACCCGGUGAUCUAGCCAUGGGCAGGUUGAAGGUUGGGUAACACUAACUGGAGGACCGAACCGACUAAUGUUGAAAAAUUAGCGGAUGACUUGUGGCUGGGGGUGAAAGGCCAAUCAAACCGGGAGAUAGCUGGUUCUCCCCGAAAGCUAUUUAGGUAGCGCCUCGUGAAUUCAUCUCCGGGGGUAGAGCACUGUUUCGGCAAGGGGGUCAUCCCGACUUACCAACCCGAUGCAAACUGCGAAUACCGGAGAAUGUUAUCACGGGAGACACACGGCGGGUGCUAACGUCCGUCGUGAAGAGGGAAACAACCCAGACCGCCAGCUAAGGUCCCAAAGUCAUGGUUAAGUGGGAAACGAUGUGGGAAGGCCCAGACAGCCAGGAUGUUGGCUUAGAAGCAGCCAUCAUUUAAAGAAAGCGUAAUAGCUCACUGGUCGAGUCGGCCUGCGCGGAAGAUGUAACGGGGCUAAACCAUG
This 810-nucleotide ribosomal RNA is filed under the name Escherichia coli. Its description in RNAcentral is "partial 23S ribosomal RNA". It matches the Rfam family "Bacterial large subunit ribosomal RNA", at positions 377 to 1191 of the family's 2925-position model. Lineage: Bacteria; Pseudomonadati; Pseudomonadota; Gammaproteobacteria; Enterobacterales; Enterobacteriaceae. The record is from RNAcentral.